This 707-nucleotide ribosomal RNA is filed under the name Salmonella enterica subsp. enterica serovar Bredeney. RNAcentral's name for it is "partial 23S ribosomal RNA". It matches the Rfam family "Bacterial large subunit ribosomal RNA", at positions 840 to 1547 of the family's 2925-position model. Lineage: Bacteria; Pseudomonadati; Pseudomonadota; Gammaproteobacteria; Enterobacterales; Enterobacteriaceae. The record is from RNAcentral.
GGGAGAUAGCUGGUUCUCCCCGAAAGCUAUUUAGGUAGCGCCUCGUGAAUUCAUCUCCGGGGGUAGAGCACUGUUUCGGCUAGGGGGCCAUCCCGGCUUACCAACCCGAUGCAAACUGCGAAUACCGGAGAAUGUUAUCACGGGAGACACACGGCGGGUGCUAACGUCCGUCGUGAAGAGGGAAACAACCCAGACCGCCAGCUAAGGUCCCAAAGUCAUGGUUAAGUGGGAAACGAUGUGGGAAGGCCCAGACAGCCAGGAUGUUGGCUUAGAAGCAGCCAUCAUUUAAAGAAAGCGUAAUAGCUCACUGGUCGAGUCGGCCUGCGCGGAAGAUGUAACGGGGCUAAACCAUGCACCGAAGCUGCGGCAGCGACACUCAGGUGUUGUUGGGUAGGGGAGCGUUCUGUAAGCCUGCGAAGGUGGCCUGUGAGGGUUGCUGGAGGUAUCAGAAGUGCGAAUGCUGACAUAAGUAACGAUAAAGCGGGUGAAAAGCCCGCUCGCCGGAAGACCAAGGGUUCCUGUCCAACGUUAAUCGGGGCAGGGUGAGUCGACCCCUAAGGCGAGGCCGAAAGGCGUAGUCGAUGGGAAACGGGUUAAUAUUCCCGUACUUGGUGUUACUGCGAAGGGGGGACGGAGAAGGCUAUGUUGGCCGGGCGACGGUUGUCCCGGUUUAAGCGUGUAGGUGUGUGUUCCAGGUAAAUCCGGUU